This is an RNA transcript of Lethenteron reissneri (Far Eastern brook lamprey), 4139 nucleotides long. RefSeq lists it as uncharacterized. The record is from RefSeq and is a predicted model, not a curated record. NCBI's taxonomy places the organism in Eukaryota, Metazoa, Chordata, Hyperoartia, Petromyzontiformes, Petromyzontidae.
UUUAGUUCCAGCUGCCUAAGUGGAUACAUAUCUGCAUUUUUCUGAGAUAGCAUCAAGAGGCUGCAAGCAUCCGGUAGACAAUUUUGCUAUGUCUACGGCCAAUUUAUCAAGACGAGCGAAAAAGUCCUGUAGAAGCAUCUGCUAAGAUGUGUGAGGCCUACAAGGCAUAUUUCGGCAUACCUGUCGGGGAUCAAGACAAACCCUGGGCACCUCAUUUCACCUGCGAGCAAUGCUAAAAAACUGUGGAAGGAUGGUACAGAGGGGAAAAGAGAGCCAUGAAGUUCACUAUCCCAAGAAUUUGGCGAGAACCCACUGACCACUCAAGCAACUGCUACUUCUGCAUGGUGGAUCCUUCCAAACGUCGGACUGGCAAGAAUGAACCUGCUAUCACGUAUCCGGACCUUCCUUCAUCCAUCGCCCCAUGCCACACUGCCAUGAGCUCCCUGUACCCACUCCUCAGAAAGAGAGCAGCCAUCUUAGAAGAGAGCAGCAAGUCAGAAAGCGAGGAAGACGUUGUCGAUCCAGAUGACAAUUUCAGAGGUGGAGCUGAGGCGAGAAACCGAUACCACCCCAACCAAAAAGAUCUCCACGACUUGAUCAUAGAUCUUGGUCUCACCAAGUCCAAUGCUGAGCUUUUGACAUCUCGGCUCAAGCAGUGGAACUUGUUGGAUAAAAGUGUACAAGUCGCAGAUCAGAGGAAGCCUCGCCAACCUUUUUGCAACUUCUUCACCCGUCAAGAUGGGCUCUCCUUCUGCCACAGUCUGUUCGAGGCAAUCGGAAUCGCCUGUAACCAGAAUGAGUGGCGCCUCUUCAUUGACAGCUCAUCCAGGAGCCUCAAAGCCGUGCUGCUCCAUAACGGUAACAAUUACCCGUCUCUUCCCCCGGCUCACUCGGUGCAUCUCAAAAAGGAUUACAACAGCAUCAAGACCUUGCUAGACGCCUUGAAGUAUGAUGAGUAUGGCUGGGAGGUCAUCGGAGACUUCAAAAUGGUGGCAUUCCUGAUGGGUCUCCAAGGCAGUUUUACCAAGUUUCCCUGCUAUCUUUGCCUUUGGGACAGCAGGGACACCAAAGCGAACUACCACAGGCGGGACUGGUCACAGCAGACCGAGUUCUCUGUGUGGAGGAACAACGUCAAGUGGAAGCCACUGGUGGACCCCCGGAAGGUGCUGAUGCCACCACUGCACAUUAAAUUGGGCCUUAUGAAACAAUUUGUCAGAGCUGUAGACAAGGAGUCGGCAGCCUUCAUGUACCUUCAAGACUUCUUCCCUAAACUGUCUGAGGCAAAGGUCAAAGCCGGUGUCUUCAUUGGACCACAGAUAAAGAAGAUCCUGGAGUGCAAUGAAUUCCCCAAGAAGCUCACUAGUAAGGAGAAAGCGGCUUGGAACAUCUUUGUCGCAGAUGGCUCGUGGCUUCCUGGGCAAUCACAAGGUCGAAAACUAUGUGGAGCUGGUUGAGACUGGUGAAGAACUACGGCAUAAUGGGCUGUAGGAUGUCCCUCAAAGCCCAUAUCCUUGAUGCUCAUCUUAAAUCUCGAAAAACGACCACUUCUAAAUCUUUUGUAGUCAUUUUUUUAUUACUUUAGUAUAAAUAAAUGUAAUUUUGAUUCAUGUUGUUUUUUUCUGACUUUAUGUGAACGAAAAAACACAAAUUUGCCCGUUUCUCAUUGAAAAUAGAUACAUUUCAAAAUAUCACUGUCCUAGUCACAAAAGCAAAGUUUGUGGGGAAUAAUAGCCAUUUUCUAUACUUUUUAGGCAUAAGCUAUUACGAAAUAACACUUACUAACAGGACAAAAAUUGUGUUACGUAGUGUUAUUUAUGGGGAAAUGUUUUUGCUUAACAUUCCACUUUUCAGGUAUGCAUUUACCGCAUUAAACGAGGACAUGCUGUAUACCAUAUGGAGCCAAUUACAUGUCAUGAACACUUUGCAAUCUCUCCUUCCAAGUGCAUACAACACCGCAUAAAAAGGUUGCAGAGGUCUUUGAGGUUGUCCUCGUCACUCACCAAGUCUUUGAUCUCCUCAACUGUGAGACCCAGCUUCCCGCUCAACUCGUCGAAGACAUUUAUACAUUCCACAGGUGUCUGUCCUGGAUACUCUGCUGGGUGAGCCAUGCCUGUGGACAUUUCUUGCUUCAAUGUGGAGACAUCAGGCCUCAACCUAUCGAUUAGUGAUGGCCGUUCUGCAUCAAAGAUGGCAACUAGUUUGUGAAGUCUGUUGGAAUUUGGGUAAGCAGAUUCUUCAAUGUAGUUGGGAUUCAAAAGCCAUUCAUGAGGCAGUGAACGUACCAUGUGUGGUGCAAUAUUUGUGCAAGCAUCUAAUUCUUCUCGAGCAGUGUAUCCUUUCAUUGGUACAUAGACAGGAAUGACAUUUUUGUUUGAGUGUGAAAUUAAAUGUGGUCUCAGUCCUGUGCAAAGACAUUCACCAUGAUUUGAACAAGAACAGUCUAAAGUCUUUCCUUCAAAGGUGUUUUCACUGUUGAUAGACCUGAACCUAAUGUCAUCGAUAGUGCAAGUAUCACAACCAUCUUUUUGGAAACAUACAAAUUCUCCUUUUGAAGCACGAUUGUGGGCUUCUAUAAAAUUUUGACUAUACAACUCAGCUUUUGACACAUGGAGGACAGAAUAGAUGUUAUUUUGUCCAAAGCCUCCAUCACUUACAGAGUACUUGACAUCACUCACGAUUGGUGAUAUUGUUCUACAGAGUUUGGUGGGCUGCAUGCAUUGGCACCCACUGCCUUUGCAUCCACCAACACCAAAUGUCAAACUUUUGUAUCCAGCUUGUCUGUUGGUGGCAAUAUCUGAAAAGACAAUCAAUAUUGACAAUGAUAAAACAAGAUGCACAGUUUGCAACUUACUUAAUCGAAAAGCACUUCAACGUGUAUCAUUUAAAUGCACUCACCAUCUUGAUCAUUGGAAGAAAAAGUAUCUGUAUUUGCACCAGAAUUGUCAUAAAAUGCAAAUUGAUUGACUUUUGAGUUGUAAUAAGGCAAGUCUGUGUUAUAGACAGGUCUUCGGUCUACUUGGUGAAAGUAAAGGACUUCACUUCUCUCAGUCUCUCGCACACUUUCUGGACAAUCAGUUGGUUCCGUGCAGCCUAUCACUGCACAUACACCACCGGCUGAGGGACUUGGCAUGGUCAGGUUUGUUUGCAUGCUCAAAUGUGCACAUGAGUAGCAUUCCUUCCAUGAUUCCACCCCCAAAUAUGUGUUGAAAGUGAGCUCUUUGACAUUACAGUUACUGUCACAGAGUAUGGUGUUGUAGAUGGUUUCAUAGCUCUUUGUGAUGAUGUUGCUUUGGUCCAUGGUCGUAAGUGGCAGAUCUUGGGUGCAUGCACAAUACGGAAUGCUGACAUGCAUCGGUUGCUCCAGAUCACUAUCACUGGUCCCCUCCAUCAGGUUUGCACAGGUGCUCACACCUGUCAUGCACAGGAAACACAUUUACCAAGCAGAUGAAAAAGUAUUACAAUCAAACCCAAAAAAGUCCCACUGAGAGUUAUUAUUUCACAGAGGUCCUGCAUUUAUAUAUUUGGCCAAUGCCAUCAAUGGCAUAUUGGAGGAAACCAGAGUACCCAGAGAAGGUUAACAUGUAGGAGGAGGUAAAACCCAUGUCUGACACACCUAACCUACAAGACUCCAGUCUCCAGGAGCUCUGAAUCUCUCAGCCAUAGCAUCAGCUCGGAAGGUGAGCAAACAAGAGGUGGCAAUAAUCACGGUGUACAAAUCAGCCACCUUUUUGACUCUGCAACCUUGUCAAACUGGUGACUUAAUUGGGAGAAAUACAUUUUUGGUAUAGUUGGACUCAGGUGAUGACAAAAUGAGCAAACUCUAUCCAUUUUAUACUUUAAACUUUUUUCAGGUUAUAAAAACUUUUGCUGGUUGGCUGGACAGAUAGUCGACCACAUCCAAACGCUAUCACCAAAAAUAUAGCAAUUAGAGCCGAGUGUGAUUUCUAAUCUCUCCAAGGCCGUAAUCUCAAUAUAUAGAAAAGGCAAAGUUGUGAUUAUGUGUGUCUGUUCAAAAUGUUUAGCGUACUUCCCGACAUGCAACAAACUUGAAAUUUGCCAUGUGUGUACUUUCCAGACUGUAAACCAUGCAAACAUUAUAAAAAUAGACUUCUGUAUAUAUUUUUUUUGGGGGGGGGGGC